RNAcentral lists this ribosomal RNA (484 nucleotides) under uncultured bacterium. Its description in RNAcentral is "partial 16S ribosomal RNA". It matches the Rfam family "Bacterial small subunit ribosomal RNA", at positions 30 to 507 of the family's 1533-position model. The record is from RNAcentral.
AUUGAACGCUGGCGGCAGGCCUAACACAUGCAAGUCGAGCGGAUGAAGGGAGCUUGCUCCUGGAUUCAGCGGCGGACGGGUGAGUAAUGCCUAGGAAUCUGCCUGGUAGUGGGGGAUAACGUCCGGAAACGGGCGCUAAUACCGCAUACGUCCUGAGGGAGAAAGUGGGGGAUCUUCGGACCUCACGCUAUCAGAUGAGCCUAGGUCGGAUUAGCUAGUUGGUGGGGUAAAGGCCUACCAAGGCGACGAUCCGUAACUGGUCUGAGAGGAUGAUCAGUCACACUGGAACUGAGACACGGUCCAGACUCCUACGGGAGGCAGCAGUGGGGAAUAUUGGACAAUGGGCGAAAGCCUGAUCCAGCCAUGCCGCGUGUGUGAAGAAGGUCUUCGGAUUGUAAAGCACUUUAAGUUGGGAGGAAGGGUAGUAAGUUAAUACCUUGCUGUUUUGACGUUACCAACAGAAUAAGCACCGGCUAACUUCGUG